Molecule: ribosomal RNA, 447 nt
Filed under: uncultured bacterium
Lineage: Bacteria
Description: bacterial SSU rRNA
Rfam family: Bacterial small subunit ribosomal RNA
Source: RNAcentral
UGGGGAAUAUUGGACAAUGGGCGCAAGCCUGAUCCAGCCAUGCCGCGUGAGUGACGAAGGCCUUAGGGUUGUAAAGCUCUUUUGGCGGGGAAGAUAAUGACGGUACCCGCAGAAUAAGCUCCGGCUAACUUCGUGCCAGCAGCCGCGGUAAUACGAAGGGAGCUAGCGUUGUUCGGAAUCACUGGGCGUAAAGCGCACGUAGGUGGGCAGUUAAGUCAGGGGUGAAAGCCCGAGGCUCAACCUCGGAAUUGCCUCUGAUACUGGCUGUCUAGAGUUCGAGAGAGGUGAGUGGAAUUCCUAGUGUAGAGGUGAAAUUCGUAGAUAUUGGGAAGAACACCAGUGGCGAAGGCGGCUAACUGGUCCGGUACUGACGCUGAGGUGCGAAAGCGUGGGGAGCAAACAGGAUUACAUACCCAUGUAGUCCCUGAGCGGGCUGGCAAGGCGCAU